CCUACGGGAGGCAGCAGUAGGGAAUAUUGGUCAAUGGAGGCAACUCUGAACCAGCCAUGCCGCGUGUAGGAAGAAGGCGUUCUGCGUUGUAAACUACUUUUGAUUGGGAACAAAUGACUCUUGCGAGAGUAGCUGAGUGUACCAAUAGAAUAAGCCACGGCUAACUACGUGCCAGCAGCCGCGGUAAUACGUAGGUGGCAAGCGUUGUCCGGAUUUAUUGAGUUUAAAGGGUGCGUAGGCGGCUUGAUAAGUCAGUGGUGAAAGCCGAUCGCUUAACGAUCGAACUGCCAUUGAUACUACCAGGCUUGAGUAUAGAUGAGGUAGGCGGAAUUGACAGUGUAGCGGUGAAAUGCAUAGAUAUUGUCAAGAACACCAAUUGCGAAGGCAGCUUACUAAGUUAUAACUGACGCUGAGGCACGAAAGUGCGGGGAUCAAACAGGAUUAGAUACCCUGGUAGUCCGCACCGUAAACGAUGAUCACUCGCUGUGUGCGAUAAACAGUACGNGGCCAAGCGAAAGCGAAGUAAGUAGAUUCACGUGGAGGUUACGCCGCGAGGAGGAACGACGAAGAGAGUUAGACGGCGNGAGACGNGCGACGGACGACGACGAGGGAGGUAGGAG
Molecule: ribosomal RNA, 620 nt
Filed under: uncultured bacterium
Lineage: Bacteria
Description: bacterial SSU rRNA
Rfam family: Bacterial small subunit ribosomal RNA (bases 1-537)
Source: RNAcentral